UACGUAGGGGGCGAGCGUUGUCCGGAGUUACUGGGCGUAAAGGGCGUGCAGGCGGUGCAGUAAGUUCGGAGUGACAGUUCCCGGCUCAACUGGGAAAGGUCUUUGAAAACUGCUGGACUCGAGGGCCAGAGAGGGACAUAGAAUUCCGGGUGGAGUGGUGAAAUGCGUAGAUAUCCGGAGGAAUACCAAAGGCGAAGGCAGUGUCCUGGCUGGCAACUGACGCUGAGGCGCGAAAGCUAGGGGAG
This 245-nucleotide ribosomal RNA is filed under the name uncultured bacterium. RNAcentral's name for it is "partial 16S ribosomal RNA". It matches the Rfam family "Bacterial small subunit ribosomal RNA", at positions 524 to 768 of the family's 1533-position model. The record is from RNAcentral.